This 150-nucleotide non-coding RNA is filed under the name uncultured Dysosmobacter sp. RNAcentral's name for it is "glmS glucosamine-6-phosphate activated ribozyme". It matches the Rfam family "glmS glucosamine-6-phosphate activated ribozyme aptamer", at positions 9 to 158 of the family's 167-position model. From Rfam's summary of the family: This entry contains a glucosamine-6-phosphate activated ribozyme that is found in the mRNA for GlmS. GlmS is an enzyme that uses fructose-6-phosphate and glutamine to generate glucosamine-6-phosphate. The record is from RNAcentral. Lineage: Bacteria; Bacillati; Bacillota; Clostridia; Eubacteriales; Oscillospiraceae.
CAAAAGCGCCAGCGCCUGCGCCGGGUUCUAUCCCGGGCAGGACGACGAGGAGAAGAGAGAAUCGAAGCUUCGGCGGGUGCUCUUCCGUGCGUGCGGGCGCGUGACACAGUCUGCAAAUAUGCGGGCGACCGCAAAACAAAGGGGCUGUGA